RNAcentral lists this ribosomal RNA (516 nucleotides) under uncultured bacterium. Its description in RNAcentral is "bacterial SSU rRNA". It matches the Rfam family "Bacterial small subunit ribosomal RNA", at positions 25 to 518 of the family's 1533-position model. The record is from RNAcentral.
CAGAACGAACGCUGGCGGCGUGCCUAACACAUGCAAGUCGUACGCGAAAGGGGCUUCGGCCCUGAGUAAAGUGGCGCACGGGUGAGUAACACGUGGAUAAUCUGCCCGGUGAUCAGGGAUAACAUUCCGAAAGGAAUGCUAAUACCGGAUAAGCCCACGCAUCCUUCGGGGUGAGCGGGAAAAGGUGGGGACCUUCGGGCCUACUGUCACUGGAUGAGUCCGCGUCCCAUUAGCUAGUUGGUGGGGUAAUGGCCUACCAAGGCGACGAUGGGUAGCUGGUCUGAGAGGAUGAUCGGCCACACUGGAACUGAGACACGGUCCAGACUCCUACGGGAGGCAGCAGUGGGGAAUUUUGCGCAAUGGGCGAGAGCCUGACGCAGCAACGCCGCGUGAAGUGAUGAAGGCCUUCGGGUCGUAAAGCUCUGUCAGAGGGAAAGAACAACCUGCCGGUUAAUACCCGGCGGGCCUGACGGUACCCUCAAAGGAAGCACCGGCUAACUCCGUGCCAGCAGCCGC